Xenopus laevis (African clawed frog) is the source of this 223-nucleotide long non-coding RNA. RefSeq lists it as uncharacterized. NCBI's taxonomy places the organism in Eukaryota, Metazoa, Chordata, Amphibia, Anura, Pipidae. The transcript has 2 exons. The record is from RefSeq and is a predicted model, not a curated record.
GUAACUUUAGCCAAUAGGAGAAAGCUUCCAGCAGUGAUUCCAGAGAUUGAGUGUGGGAGGGAGAAGCCCAGAGAGAGCAGGCACAGCAGAGGGAGACCUGUCUAGACAGAAGUGCUGUUCUGCCUGUUAUGAAUAUUCAUAUAUGCCUUACACUGUUGCAUACAACUCCUGGAGUAGCACAACAGUUUGUGAAAGAUGUCAAAGAAUCGGUUGAAGUUAUCAU